This 404-nucleotide ribosomal RNA is filed under the name Verrucomicrobiota bacterium. Its description in RNAcentral is "Verrucomicrobia bacterium partial 16S ribosomal RNA". It matches the Rfam family "Bacterial small subunit ribosomal RNA", at positions 355 to 776 of the family's 1533-position model. The record is from RNAcentral. Lineage: Bacteria; Pseudomonadati; Verrucomicrobiota.
UGGGGAAUAUUGCACAAUGGGGGAAACCCUGAUGCAGCGACGCCGCGUGAGCGAAGAAGGCUUUCGAGUCGUAAAGCUCUGUCCUAUGAGAAGAUAAUGACGGUAUCAUAGGAGGAAGCCCUGGCUAAAUACGUGCCAGCAGCCGCGGUAAUACGUAUGGGGCGAGCGUUGUCCGGAAUUAUUGGGCGUAAAGCGCGCGCAGGUGGUUUAGAAAGUCUGAUGUGAAAGCCCACGGCUCAACCGUGGAGGGUCAUUGGAAACUAAUAAACGUGAGUGCAGGAGAGAAAAGUGGAAUUCCUAGUGUAGCGGUGAAAUGCGUAGAGAUUAGGAGGAACACCGGUGGCGAAAGCGGCUUUUUGGCCUGCAACUGACACUGAGGCGCGAAAGCGUGGGGAGCAAACAGG